GCGCUCAGCUCAGCAGCACACAUGCUAAGAUUGCAACAAUACAGAGAUUAGCAUGGCCCCUGAGCAAGGACGACAUGCAUAUCGUGCAGUGUUCCUCAUCUGU
RNAcentral lists this small nuclear RNA (103 nucleotides) under Neotoma lepida (desert woodrat). The record is from RNAcentral. Lineage: Eukaryota; Metazoa; Chordata; Mammalia; Rodentia; Cricetidae.